AUUGAACGCUGGCGGCAGGCCUAACACAUGCAAGUCGAGCGGAAACGAGUUAUCUGAACCUUUCGGGGAACGAUAACGGCGUCGAGCGGCGGACGGGUGAGUAAUGCCUAGGAAAUUGCCCUGAUGUGGGGGAUAACCAUUGGAAACGAUGGCUAAUACCGCAUGAUGCCUACGGGCCAAAGAGGGGGACCUUCGGGCCUCUCGCGUCAGGAUAUGCCUAGGUGGGAUUAGCUAGUUGGUGAGGUAAGGGCUCACCAAGGCGACGAUCCCUAGCUGGUCUGAGAGGAUGAUCAGCCACACUGGAACUGAGACACGGUCCAGACUCCUACGGGAGGCAGCAGUGGGGAAUAUUGCACAAUGGGCGCAAGCCUGAUGCAGCCAUGCCGCGUGUAUGAAGAAGGCCUUCGGGUUGUAAAGUACUUUCAGUCGUGAGGAAGGUAGUGUAGUUAAUAGCUGCAUUAUUUGACGUUAGCGACAGAAGAAGCACCGGCUAACUCCGUGCCAGCAGCCGCGGUAAUACGGAGGGUGCGAGCGUUAAUCGGAAUUACUGGGCGUAAAGCGCAUGCAGGUGGUUUGUUAAGUCAGAUGUGAAAGCCCGGGGCUCAACCUCGGAAUAGCAUUUGAAACUGGCAGACUAGAGUACUGUAGAGGGGGGUAGAAUUUCAGGUGUAGCGGUGAAAUGCGUAGAGAUCUGAAGGAAUACCGGUGGCGAAGGCGGCCCCCUGGACAGAUACUGACACUCAGAUGCGAAAGCGUGGGGAGCAAACAGG
Molecule: ribosomal RNA, 770 nt
Filed under: uncultured Pseudoalteromonadaceae bacterium
Lineage: Bacteria; Pseudomonadati; Pseudomonadota; Gammaproteobacteria; Alteromonadales; Pseudoalteromonadaceae
Description: bacterial SSU rRNA
Rfam family: Bacterial small subunit ribosomal RNA
Source: RNAcentral